CGGAUGUAGCUCAGUUGGUUAGAGCGCUGGAUUGUGGCUCCGGAGGCCGUGGGUUCGACCCCCAUCAUU
RNAcentral lists this transfer RNA (69 nucleotides) under human oral metagenome. It matches the Rfam family "tRNA", at positions 5 to 66 of the family's 71-position model. From Rfam's summary of the family: Transfer RNA (tRNA) molecules are approximately 80 nucleotides in length. Their secondary structure includes four short double-helical elements and three loops (D, anti-codon, and T loops). The record is from RNAcentral.